AGAGUUUGAUCCUGGCUCAGAUUGGACGCUAGCGGGAUGCUUUACACAUGCAAGUCGAACGGCAGCGCAAAGAGAGCUUGCUCUCUUUGGCGGCGAGUGGCGAACGGGUGAGUAAUGUAUCGGAACGUGCCCAGUAGCGGGGGAUAACCACUCGAAAGAGUGGCUAAUACCGCAUACGCCCUACGGGGGAAAGGGGGGGAUCGCAAGACCUCUCACUAUUGGAGCGGCCGAUAUCGGAUUAGCUAGUUGGUGGGGUAACGGCCUACCAAGGCUGCGAUCCGUAGCUGGUUUGAGAGGACGACCAGCCACACUGGGACUGAGACACGGCCCAGACUCCUACGGGAGGCAGCAGUGGGGAAUUUUGGACAAUGGGGGCAACCCUGAUCCAGCCAUCCCGCGUGUGCGAUGAAGGCCUUCGGGUUGUAAAGCACUUUUGGCAGGGAAGAAAAGGCGCUGGUUAAUACCUGGCGCUGCUGACGGUACCUGCAGAAUAAGCACCGGCUAACUACGUGCCAGCAGCCGCGGUAAUACGUAGGGUGCAAGCGUUAAUCGGAAUUACUGGGCGUAAAGCGUGCGCAGGCGGUUCGGCAAGAAGGAUGUGAAAUCCCGGGGCUUAACCUCGGAACUGCAUUCUUAACUGCCGGGCUAGAGUAUGUCAGAGGGGGUAGAAUUCCGCGUGUAGCAGUGAAAUGCGUAGAGAUGCGGAGGAAUACCGAUGGCGAAGGCAGCCCCCUGGGAUAAUACUGACGCUCAUGCACGAAAGCGUGGGUAGCAAACAGGAUUAGAUACCCUGGUAGUCCACGCCCUAAACGAUGUCAACUAGCUGUUGGGGCCUUCGGGCCUUAGUAGCGCAGCUAACGCGUGAAGUUGACCGCCUGGGGAGUACGGUCGCAAGAUUAAAACUCAAAGGAAUUGACGGGGACCCGCACAAGCGGUGGAUGAUGUGGAUUAAUUCGAUGCAACGCGAAAAACCUUACCUACUCUUGACAUCUAGCGAAGAUUGUAGAGAUACGAUUGUGCCUUCGGGAACGCUAAGACAGGUGCUGCAUGGCUGUCGUCAGCUCGUGUUGUGAAAUGUUGGGUUAAGUCCCGCAACGAGCGCAACCC
RNAcentral lists this ribosomal RNA (1107 nucleotides) under uncultured bacterium. Its description in RNAcentral is "bacterial SSU rRNA". It matches the Rfam family "Bacterial small subunit ribosomal RNA", at positions 8 to 1104 of the family's 1533-position model. The record is from RNAcentral.